Long non-coding RNA from Oryzias melastigma (Indian medaka), 3964 nucleotides. RefSeq lists it as uncharacterized. The transcript has 2 exons. The record is from RefSeq and is a predicted model, not a curated record. Lineage: Eukaryota; Metazoa; Chordata; Actinopteri; Beloniformes; Adrianichthyidae.
GUCACAUGUGGAUCUGAAGCCGCAGGUUGCAGACCCCUGAUCUAGAUAUUUAGUAAUGAUUUGCUAUUUGAAACUAUAGAUAAUAAUGCACACCUUUUAACAGAGAGACUUUUUUUUCCUUAUGAGCAUUUUUUUUCAACAAAAACAAAAUGUCUCUUACAUCUCUGACUAGUUGCAAUUGUUUCCUAGAAACAAUUGCAACUAAAAAGAAGAAAUGUGAUGAUAAACGUGUAAACAAAGCUAAUCUCCCCACAAGCUACACAAUGAGUAACUUCAUUAAGUUAGAACACCAGCAGCACAAGGUAAUCAAAAUCCUCAUGAACGUGCAUUUUUCAUUGAAAAGUGAACUCAUGGAUGUGACUAUUAUGCAAAAAAGCAGCAUCAUCACAUGAAUUAUGCUAAAAGUCCUUGGAAGAUUUUUUUUUUCUUAUUUCCGUGAUACCUUUUGGUUUUUCUGACACAUUUGCAUCUUUAGAUAUUUACCUUUACAGCACCAUAUUGCAAACUACACUAAACUGAAUUUUUGUUUUAAAGUAAAAGGUGAAGAGAGCUUAUUCUGCCAUUCACUCCAAUGAACUUAAUAAACCUGCUUCAAGCAGAGAAGCACAAACAGUGUCAUCAAGGACAGUGGAGUGUUUGUUACAAACCAAAUACCUGAAUGUUGAGUCACUGCUUCAGUUCAUUCUGGUACUAAAGCAAACGAGGAGCAUGACAGAGCCCAGCAGCCCAGCAGCAGCAGAAAGAAAGCCUGACAUUUUUCACUCAGAGCAGUUUUCAGCAUGUCUCUCAGGUGGGCCAAACACACUGACGGGCAGCCAAGGGUUCUCGCACCUGCACCACAACAAGCAUCUCACAGUUCCACUGACCUGAAUUGUGACGUGAUAAGACAAGUGUCAUCAGAGUCCAGCAUGUCAAAGCUUCUGAAUGGUCUACAGCCCCAUGAAAGCUCAGCCACUGCUUUGUAGGUCAUUACAUUUCAGUUUCAAGAAAACGAUGGAAGCUCUGACAGUCAUUUUAUCCCAUGACUUGCCCAGAGACUGUACUGAAUGCAUUUUUUGUAAAGGCUCUUUAUAGUAGCGCACAAGAUAUGUUUCUUAUGGAUAUUUUUUCUCCCCAAUUAAAGUAUUAAUGUCAUUACUUUGGACCAAACAGUAUGGUUUGUGGUUGUGUGCCAGAAUUCAAUGUCAAGAGAGCAAGAACAUCUCUGAGAUCUCAUUAAUGUUGUUGACCUUUGCUUUCCUUUACGUAAUUAAAACCCCCAAAUCACACAAACUAAACAUUUAAUUUAAAUGUUUCUAAAUAGAUAUUAACUGGGUUUACAAAAAAUGAGUUUUUUUUAAGUAUGAAGGACUUUCAUGGUCAAACUGCUGCAAUUUCAGAAGGUAUUGGACCAGAAUUUAUGUUUUAAUUAGGAGACAAGAUUGUUUAUUUAUUUGCAUUUUACUUGUUUUAUCCCUGUCUAGUAUUGCAAUAUAUUUUAUACUGUGUUUCACUGCUGUUUCAUUGUUUUUUUUCAGUGCAAAUUUAAUACUUUUUUAUUUAUCUCAAUGUUCUGUGUCUUGAUUGACUAUUGAACUUGUCAAUGAAUGUACAGUGUCUCCUGUACAGAAUGUGUUCAGUUUGCCAAAUUUACACAAAUUUUAGGUUGCUAUCAGAUUUGUGCUUUCAUUUUAUAACACUGAACUUAUUUUUUUCCUGAAAGUUUGAACUUUGAGAGAAAAGAGAGAAAAUGUUAAUGUCUGUCUGAAGUGUAUAGCGUGUGGCGAAGGGUUUUCCAACUUUAAAACAUCAGUAAUCCUUCUUUGCUGAUUUUUAAAUUGUAACCCUGGUAAUAAACGAGGGACCGAGUGGUCACUUAGUAAACUCAUCUGACUGCCUCUUUCAGUUUUCAUCACAGUGGACAAGACACGUUUGAUGGCAGCGAAAAAUGUGUGGAAACACAGAUUUUUGCAAAUACAUGUGACCACACAGCGUGGCAAAACAUCCUAAUGUUCCGUUUGUGUCAUUUUUGUGUGGAAAAACAACAGUGGGCUGAACUUUGUGAAUGGGUUUGCCAUUAAUUAUUGCUCACUUGUUUGUUUGUACACAAACAGACAAAUUUGUAUUUAAAAUUUUGAUUUAGAAUUUAUUAUCUUGCGAGAAAUACAAGGAAUCUGGAAAACUUCGCCUGCACUGUCCAGUAACAGGUAUUUAUCUCUGAGUCACACUACUAAUACUUUUAGCUAAAGAUGUCCUGGAUCUAAUUUAGGACAGUGAAUCAAAUCGGAUAUUUCAAUAUGAACUAAUAUCGACUAUAAAUCUCAUCAGUAACCACAAAUUUCAAUAUGAACUGAAUUGAUAAAAUGAAUCUUUACAGCCUAAUAAUCCACAUCAUUGUUUUCUAUCUUGCUUAAGUAAAAUUUAUCUUUGAUAAAGCAACUCAUUAAAGGCUCUGUUGCAUCUGUGUAUGAAUAUGAGCAGCUGAAAGAAAGAAAUCAGCGUUUUAACAAUAAAAUACAAUAAUAAAAGCAAAAUUGCAUCUGAAUUAUUUGUGUGAGAUCUACAUUCUAAAAUAACAUGGUUGUAGAAAACAAUGGUUGUCGCAGUGUAAGCCACACAAAUGUGUGUGAUGAAAAAAAAAUCUUUGCAUGUGUGGUGAGCUUUAAGAAGGGUUGCUAAAGCAGCAACAACAAAAACAAGCAGAGCCUGUUUUCUGUCAACACCGUAACAGAAAAAGUUCUGGCAAACCGUGUAAAGAAUAAAAAAAAAAAAAAACAAAAAAAAAAAAACACUUAUGCUAUAGUUAAAAUAUGUCAAGAAAAUGUUAAUACAUUUUGUAUUUUCUGUUUAUUUGCAGAUUCAACCUCCGACACAUUUAUAUAAAGACCCACUCUGAUCAUCUUUUUAUCUUUUUUACCCUCAGCUGUAUAAAGACAUACUCAGAAAUGCAGUUUUGAGCUGAAUUUUCUUUAUAUAUCAUUAGAAAAAUGCCACAAGAACAUCUUAAAAAUCGCCAAAAACACAAUUUUCAUGGGAGUGGGUGCUCAACACUACUAAGAGUAUUUCAAUAUUGUAAAAAUAAAGACUAAAACAACAAAAUGAGUCAUUUUAAGUGAAUUGUGUCUGUGUGCUCAGAUGACAUUUUAUGUUUCUUUAACAAUCAUUGAUAACAGAAGAAGAUACUAGCCUGUCCAGCAAAUGAUUUGGCCCACGGAAAAAAGAAGAAGAAAAAAAAAAUCUACUUUUUUAAAUUGAAGGAACCCACCUAUGGAGAUUAAAAGAACUAAUUAAAAAAGAUAACCUCACGUAUCUCAGAUUAAACUUUUUUUUAAUAAUGCUGUCAUUUGUUCUCCGGCUGCACGGCCUUGUCCUUUGCAGGACUGCCUCCAGUCAUGCAUGAAGGGAGCAAAAGGUCAGAAUGCAACUUCUGAAAGGCAGACUGCUCUGUGCCUGUGGUGAAUCCCAACACUAUUACACCCCAACAGAUGCUUAUUUCACGGCCAUUUUCAGUUGUGGGGUAAUUAAACAUUUCCAGAUAAGUACUUUUUAAUAACCAUUCACACACAAUAAAAUGUUUAUUUGCAAGACAACGUGUGGGAGGAAACCACAAAAUAAAAAUUAAUAAAAAAAGAUCAACUAGUGGGAGAAUGACUUUAAGGGCAGACCGGAACUAGCUGCAGAAUAACUCCAAGGUACUUUACUGACCUCAAAAGCAGAUUUCUACAAUCUUUCCUCACUGUGGAAUGAAAUCUUCCACUUUUUGGGGAGUCUCAAAAUAGAGCCUCUAGGCAGUCUUUGUCGAUUGAGCGGUUUAAGUGUUUCCAUCCCUGCAGGCAGAAAUCAACUCUGACGCACUCUGAGCCCGCCUUAGCUCCCCAUGACUGCCUAUGACCCACAGCAAAAGCUUUUGGAUCACUGGGCCAGUGCCUUACAAAGACGAAGGCCUUGCAGGUUGGUGGAACCAAUCGAAAAAAAAAAAAAAAAA